Molecule: long non-coding RNA, 763 nt
Filed under: Homo sapiens (human)
Lineage: Eukaryota; Metazoa; Chordata; Mammalia; Primates; Hominidae
Description: non-protein coding lnc-ZNF479-10:1
Source: RNAcentral
GGAUCAGUGAAUUUUCAGCUGACAGUACGCCUUGCAGCCCUUAGGAUCUUUCUGUGCCCCAGCGAGACCCUUCCCGCCCCACUGCAUUGUAACCCCAUUCCUGAUCACCCCGUGGGAUCCAUAGUCAGAUCUGAAGAGGAGUCCAGAGAGCCCAGCCGCACCCUGAAGCUCCUCCUCCACUGGGAACCGAAGCAGAAGACCGAUUAAGAAGGUCCUGAUGACAGGACCUCUAUGGGUCCAACCGUUGGGUCUCCCGCAGUACCCUCUUGUAGUCCUCUUCCCACCCGCCGCCUCGGACUGCGCUGCCACCGCCACCGCUGCCCCAGACCCCCGGCCGCGCAUCGCCGCCAUUUUUUAAAGGAUCUGAGGCCUGACUCUCCGAAGCAAGCUGGGAGUCGGCCUUGCCAGUGCGCAUGCGCAAGGCCUGAGCCUCCGCUUUGGUCGUAGUGAUUGACACUGUUGCCCGGGGAUGGGUUUCUGAGACUUUGCGAAGUAGGAGCCCCGUGUGAUAGUGCGUCAGGGUCAAGUCUGAGAGCAGUCCUGGCCAGGGCAUUAACAGGAUGGUCUCCGGAGCCUGGGAUUCUCGGAGGGUCGACCACCAGGAAGAAACCUCACAAGGAAGAAACCUCAGGCGGAUCACCUGGGCGGCAGCGCGAGAUCCCAGCCUCAGGCCUGGAUUCGGGGAGAGUUGACGAGGCCUCUCUCCCAAUCUUCACUUCACCCGCCGCCGCCCUACUCCCGCAGCCGCCGCUCCACGGUCAUU